UUACAAGAAACGAGGCCGCGUGCGUGCGCUCGCCCGCCCGGCCCCGCUCCUUACCUUGCCUACUGCACCGUUUGUUGCUUCCUGGCGGCGGACUGCCCGCCGCCAGGGACGUUGAUACAACCCUGUAUAGAAGCAUUGAAGCUCUGAGAAAACGCGAAAUCGUACAACUUUCAACAAUGGAUCUCUUGGUUCUGGCAUCGAUGAAGAACGCAGCGAAAUGCGAUAAGUAGUGUGAAUUGCAGAAUUCAGUGAAUCAUCGAAUCUUUGAACGCACAUUGCGCCCCUUGGCAUUCCAUGGGGCAUGCCUGUUCGAGCGUCAUCUAAACCCUCAAGCCCCCGGCUUGGUGUUGGGUGCCUGUCCCCGCUCCCCGCGCGGACUCACCCCAAAUGCAUUGGCAGCCGCCUCUCGGCUUCUUGCGCAGCACAGUGCGCAGCGAGGCGAGGUGAGGCGUGCGUCCAGCAAGCAACCACCCAAGUUUGACCUCGGAUCAGGUAGGGAUACCCGCUGAACUUAAGCAUAUCAAUAAGCGGAGGAAAAGAAACCAACUGGGAUUGCCCUAGUAACGG
Molecule: ribosomal RNA, 567 nt
Filed under: fungal sp.
Lineage: Eukaryota; Fungi
Description: eukaryotic LSU rRNA
Rfam family: 5.8S ribosomal RNA (bases 166-319)
Source: RNAcentral